ACUGUGAAUGCUAAGUAAAAAUACAAUUCUGAAAGCAAUUCACAAC
Algibacter sp. is the source of this 46-nucleotide non-coding RNA. The record is from Rfam. Lineage: Bacteria; Pseudomonadati; Bacteroidota; Flavobacteriia; Flavobacteriales; Flavobacteriaceae.